UACGGAGGGUGCAAGCGUUAUCCGGAUUCAUUGGGUUUAAAGGGAGCGUAGGCGGUCUUGUAAGUCAGUGGUGAAAUCUCUCGGCUUAACUGAGAAAUUGCCAUUGAUACUGCAGGACUUGAGUACAGUUGCCGUUGGCGGAAUAUGACAUGUAGUGGUGAAAUACAUAGAGAUGUCAUAGAACACCGAUUGCGAAGGCAGCUAACGAAGCUGUAACUGACGCUGAGGCUCGAAAGUGCGGGGAUCAAACAGG
RNAcentral lists this ribosomal RNA (253 nucleotides) under uncultured bacterium. RNAcentral describes it as "partial 16S ribosomal RNA". It matches the Rfam family "Bacterial small subunit ribosomal RNA", at positions 524 to 776 of the family's 1533-position model. The record is from RNAcentral.